CCUACGGGAGGCAGCAGGGGGGAAUAUGGCACAAUGGGGGAAACCCUGAUGCAGCGACGCCGCGUGAGUGAAGAAGGAAGGCGGGAUGGAAAGCUCUAUCAGCAGGGAAGAAAAUGACGGUACCGGAGUAAGAAGCCCCGGCUAACGACGUGCCAGCAGACGCGGUAAUACGGAGGGGGCACGCGUUAUCCGGAUUUACUGGGUGGAAAGGGAGCGUAGCCGGCAGUGCAAGUCUGGCGGGAAAGGCGGGGGCUCAACCCCCGGACUGCUCUGGAAACGGUACGGCUGGAGUGCAGGCGAGGUACGUUGCCUUCCUCGUGUAGCUGUGACCUGCGUAGAUCUUCGGCGGAACCCCUGUGGCGAAGGCGGCUUACUGGACUGUAACUUCCGUUGAGGCUCGACCGCGUGGGGAGCACACAGGAUUAGAUACCCGUGUCGUC
This 440-nucleotide ribosomal RNA is filed under the name uncultured bacterium. RNAcentral describes it as "partial 16S ribosomal RNA". It matches the Rfam family "Bacterial small subunit ribosomal RNA", at positions 338 to 795 of the family's 1533-position model. The record is from RNAcentral.